Molecule: ribosomal RNA, 387 nt
Filed under: Triticum aestivum (bread wheat)
Lineage: Eukaryota; Viridiplantae; Streptophyta; Magnoliopsida; Poales; Poaceae
Description: partial small subunit ribosomal RNA
Source: RNAcentral
AUGAAAAGACUCUUUUGCCCCUCAUGUGGUAUGUGUAUGUGGGGCAAUAGCGCACACACGCAGCAUCAGUGCGAGGGCAGGAGCACACACACAGCAACACAUACACAUGCACCAACACACACGCAUGCGCACACACACGCAACAACACGCAGCAACACACAUGCACACACACGCAGGCAGCACACACACAUACAUACACGCAGCAGCAGCAGCACACACAGGCAGCACAUAGGCACGCAACAACACACACGCGCGCGCACGUACACACGCAGUAGCAAACACACACGCAGCAGCACACAUGCACACACACAUACAGCAGCAGCACACAUGUGCGCGUGCACCCACACACGCAACAGCACACGCGUGCGCACACACAUACCGCAUUAG